Molecule: long non-coding RNA, 213 nt
Filed under: Gallus gallus (chicken)
Lineage: Eukaryota; Metazoa; Chordata; Aves; Galliformes; Phasianidae
Source: RNAcentral
GCACAAUAUUCAGUAGAGAAGGACUGGGCUGAAAGGCAGCAAUUUCUUUUGAACAAGACCAAUGCAUCUGCUCCAUUCCGUGGCCCUGAUGGAACUGAUAACGGAUAACAACAAAUGAUGUUUUUUCUACUUCUCUCAUAUGUAAAAUGCCAGGAGAUGGACGCAGACCAGGAUACCUUGUGGUGAUGUCUGCUAAAUAAAUAAAGUGCUCCC